AAAAAGUAACUAAUAUGUUGAAUUUUUCUAUGUUAUUGUUGUAUGAAUUGACUCUUUUUUUUUCUUAAAAAGAAAAACAAAUAUUUAGUUUCACCAAAAUAAUAAAUCUAAAAGUAAAUCCGAAUACGGAUGGAUUUGAAUGAAAGUACAAGACCCGAGAAAUGGGUUUGAAUAAAAAAAAAGGCCCUUUAAUAUAUAGGUUGGGUUGGG
This 210-nucleotide long non-coding RNA is filed under the name Gossypium barbadense (sea-island cotton). RNAcentral's name for it is "long non-coding RNA (GBAR_LNC017467)". The record is from RNAcentral. Lineage: Eukaryota; Viridiplantae; Streptophyta; Magnoliopsida; Malvales; Malvaceae.